GGAUUCCCCUAGUAACUGCGAGUGAAGCGGGAAAAGCUCAAAUUUAAAAUCUGGCGGUCUUUGGCCGUCCGAGUUGUAAUUUAGAGAAGCGUCUUCCGCGCCGGACCGUGCACAAGUCUCCUGGAAUGGAGCGUCAUAGAGGGUGAGAAUCCCGUCUUUGGCACGGAUGCCCGGUGCUUCUGUGAUGCGCUCUCGAAGAGUCGAGUUGUUUGGGAAUGCAGCUCAAAAUGGGUGGUGAACUCCAUCUAAAGCUAAAUAUUGGCGAGAGACCGAUAGCGAACAAGUACCGUGAGGGAAAGAUGAAAAGCACUUUGGAAAGAGAGUGAAACAGUACGUGAAAUUGUUGAAAGGGAAACGCUUGAAGUCAGUCGCGUCGACCGAGACUCAGCCUUGCCUUGGCUUGGUGUACUUCUCGGCCCGACGGGUCAGCGUCAAUUUUGCCCCUCGGAUAAUGGCAAGGGAAAGGUGGCACCUUUACGGGUGUGUUAUAGUCUCCUGUCGCAUGCGAGGGGUGGGAUUGAGGAACUCAGCGCGCACCUUKGUGUCGGGGCUUCUGCCCACGUCACGCGCUUAGGAUGCUGGCRUAAUGGCUUUAAACGACCCGUCUUGAAACACGGACCAAGGAGUCCAACAYGCCCGCGAGUGUUCGGGUGGAAAACCCGUGCGCGUAAUUAAAGUGAAAGUUGGGACCUCUGUCGUGGAGGGCACCGACGCCCGGACCAGACCUUCUGUGACGGAUCUGCGGUAGAGCGUGUGUGUUGGGACCCGAAAGAUGGUGAACUAUGCCUGAAUAGGGUGAAGCCAGAGGAAACUCUGGUGGAGGCUCGUAGCGAUUCUGACGUGCAAAUCGAUCGUCAAAUUUGGGUAUAGGGGCGAAAGACUAAUCGA
Molecule: ribosomal RNA, 888 nt
Filed under: Lactarius necator
Lineage: Eukaryota; Fungi; Basidiomycota; Agaricomycetes; Russulales; Russulaceae
Description: eukaryotic LSU rRNA
Rfam family: Eukaryotic large subunit ribosomal RNA
Source: RNAcentral